This 309-nucleotide ribosomal RNA is filed under the name Triticum aestivum (bread wheat). Its description in RNAcentral is "partial small subunit ribosomal RNA". The record is from RNAcentral. Lineage: Eukaryota; Viridiplantae; Streptophyta; Magnoliopsida; Poales; Poaceae.
AUGGUCCGAUGGUACUGUAUCACAAUAGAAGGAUUGUGCCCAGUGACGAGGGCAACCCUACCAACGCCAUCUAUGUUCCACGAGAAAUGCAUGGUUUGGGCCCCAAAAGUGGAAUCCAAUGGUGAUACUUUUAAGAAUGUGGAGAGUGAAAUCAAUCGUUCUAAAAGAUUGAGAUGCAGAAGAUGCAAACUCCCGGGAGCAGCGCUUGGUUGUUAUGACAACUCCUGCAGAAAAAGUUAUCAUGUCCCAUGUGCAAUGAUGAUACCAGAAUGCCGCUGGGAUGAAAUUAAAUUCUUCAACAAGAUUUAG